This is a long non-coding RNA of Quercus lobata, 967 nucleotides long. RefSeq lists it as uncharacterized. The transcript has 3 exons. The record is from RefSeq and is a predicted model, not a curated record. NCBI's taxonomy places the organism in Eukaryota, Viridiplantae, Streptophyta, Magnoliopsida, Fagales, Fagaceae.
UUACCCUUCACCAUUUUUGGCAAUUACAAAAUAUACCCAUGUACAAAUUUCUCUCUCAAAUUAGACACACGAUCUCUGCUCCUCUCUCUCUCUCUCUCUCCCCUCGUACAUGCUGCUCUUCCACAUUGCUCGCUCGCUCUUCUCUUUGACGUUGCUCUCUCACUCUUCUUUCUCACACCCAACUCUCUUUCAUAAAGUAUGGCAUAGGUGGUGAGGCAUCAAUAGAAGCGGACGUGUACAGUUAUGGUAUAUUACUACUGGAGAUGUUCUUAGGAAAGAGACCCAUUGAUGACAUGUUUAAAGAUGGUCUCAAUCUCCACAAUUUUGCUAAGAUGGCACUGCCUGAAAAGCUUGUUCAAAUUGUUGAUCCAAUCCUUCUACCAAGAGAAGUUAAUGAAGCUCCAACAGCAGUUGUGGUAGCUAGGGAUUAUAAUAAUGGCAAUGAAAUUCAAGAAGACGUGGGAGCUGAAGGUAUUUCAAACUUGUACCAAAUGGAUCCCAGUGUGCAUAAAUGCUUAGUAUCAAUCCUUGAAACUGGAGUUGCAUGUUCAAUGGAGUCACCAAAAGACAGAAUCAAGAUUAAGGAAGUUACCAAAGAACUACAUUUGAUCAAAAGUGCUUUUCUUGGUUUUGCUGUACGCAGAUGUGAAAUUAGGAGAAUCCAAGUUUAAGAGCAAGAAAUUAUUUGAAGAGGUCACUGAAAGUCUGAAACUUCUUUCAUGUUCCCUUUGAGCAUAUAUAGGUGUGCUAGUUCAAUCUCCUUUGCCAAAAUGUUUAAGAAAUGAUUUCCUUAUAUUUUCUUCUUUGGGAUAUGGCAAUCCUACUUGUGUAUGCAUAUCGCCAAUUUUUGACAGUACAAGCAUAUUGAACACUUCUACUACAGGUUCUAGUAUAGUGUGUAUGUAUUUUGUUUUGUAUUGAAAAUCAAUCCUAUUGCAAAAAAACCCUUUUGUAUUGGGAAUAUCAA